UACGUAGGGGGCAAGCGUUGUCCGGAAUCAUUGGGCGUAAAGCGCGUGUAGGCGGCCAGAAAAGUCCGCUGUGAAAACUCGAGGCUCAACUUCGAGCUGUCGGUGGAAACUUUCUGGCUAGAGUCCGGAAGAGGAGAAUGGAAUUCCUGGUGUAGCGGUGAAAUGCGCAGAUAUCAGGAGGAACACCGGUGGCGAAGGCGGAUCUCUGGGCCAUUACUGACGCUGAGGAGCGAAAGCGUGGGGAGCGAACAGG
RNAcentral lists this ribosomal RNA (253 nucleotides) under uncultured bacterium. RNAcentral's name for it is "partial 16S ribosomal RNA". It matches the Rfam family "Bacterial small subunit ribosomal RNA", at positions 524 to 776 of the family's 1533-position model. The record is from RNAcentral.